GAUGAACGCUGGCGGCGUGCCUAAUACAUGCAAGUAGAACGCUGAAGGAAGGAGCUUGCUCUUCUGGAUGAGUUGCGAACGGGUGAGUAACGCGUAGGUAACCUGCCUGGUAGCGGGGGAUAACUAUUGGAAACGAUAGCUAAUACCGCAUAACAGUAGAUGUUGCAUGACAUCUGCUUGAAAGGUGCAAUUGCACCACUACCAGAUGGACCUGCGUUGUAUUAGCUAGUUGGUGAGGUAACGGCUCACCAAGGCGACGAUACAUAGCCGACCUGAGAGGGUGAUCGGCCACACUGGGACUGAGACACGGCCCAGACUCCUACGGGAGGCAGCAGUAGGGAAUCUUCGGCAAUGGACGGAAGUCUGACCGAGCAACGCCGCGUGAGUGAAGAAGGUUUUCGGAUCGUAAAGCUCUGUUGUAAGAGAAGAACGAGUGUGAGAGUGGAAAGUUCACACUGUG
RNAcentral lists this ribosomal RNA (460 nucleotides) under Streptococcus australis. RNAcentral's name for it is "bacterial SSU rRNA". It matches the Rfam family "Bacterial small subunit ribosomal RNA", at positions 28 to 471 of the family's 1533-position model. The record is from RNAcentral. Lineage: Bacteria; Bacillati; Bacillota; Bacilli; Lactobacillales; Streptococcaceae.